GCUGGAUGUGGUGACACACAUCUGUAGUCCCAGCUACUCCAGAAGCUGAGGCAGGAGGAUUGCUUGAGCCCAGGAAGUUGAGGCUGCAGUGUGCUGUCAUCAUGUCACUGCACUCCAGCCUGGACAACAGAGCAAGACCCUGUCUCAA
Molecule: unclassified non-coding RNA, 148 nt
Organism: Pongo abelii (Sumatran orangutan)
Lineage: Eukaryota; Metazoa; Chordata; Mammalia; Primates; Hominidae
Rfam family: Metazoan signal recognition particle RNA
About the family: The signal recognition particle (SRP) is a universally conserved ribonucleoprotein.
Source: Ensembl